GCCGCAGUGGCGGAAUUGGUAGACGCGCACGUUUCAGGGGCGUGUAUUCGCAAGGAUGUGUGGGUUCGACUCCCACCUGCGGCA
RNAcentral lists this transfer RNA (84 nucleotides) under Saprospiraceae bacterium. Its description in RNAcentral is "tRNA-Leu". It matches the Rfam family "tRNA". From Rfam's summary of the family: Transfer RNA (tRNA) molecules are approximately 80 nucleotides in length. Their secondary structure includes four short double-helical elements and three loops (D, anti-codon, and T loops). Lineage: Bacteria; Pseudomonadati; Bacteroidota; Saprospiria; Saprospirales; Saprospiraceae. RNAcentral also lists the same sequence under 1 other name. The record is from RNAcentral.